GCGGGUGUAGUUCAGUGGUAGAACAUCUCGUUGCCAACGAGAAGCCCGUGGGUUCGAGUCCCAUCGCCCGCU
Molecule: transfer RNA, 72 nt
Filed under: Endomicrobium sp.
Lineage: Bacteria; Pseudomonadati; Elusimicrobiota; Endomicrobiia; Endomicrobiales; Endomicrobiaceae
Description: tRNA-Gly
Rfam family: tRNA
About the family: Transfer RNA (tRNA) molecules are approximately 80 nucleotides in length.
Source: RNAcentral